GGGUGAGUAACGCGUUGGGAUCUGUCUUAAACAGGGGGAUAACGUCUGGAAACGGGCGCUAAUACCGCAUAAGUCUACGGAUAAAAGGAGAAAUCCGGUUUAAGGGGAGCCUGCGUGCGAUUAGCUGGUUGGUGAGGUAAUGGCUCACCAAGGCAACGAUCGCUAGUUGGUCUGAGAGGAUGGCCAGCCACAGUGGGACUGAGACACGGCCCACACUCCUACGGGAGGCAGCAGUAGGGAAUAUUGCGCAAUGGGCGAAAGCCUGACGCAGCAAUUCCGCGUGGAGGAUGACGGUUCUAGGACUGUAAACUCCUGUCAGUAGGGAAGAGAAAAAGGACGGUACCUACAGAGGAAGCACCGGCUAACUACGUGCCAGCAGCCGCGGUAAUACGUAGGGUGCGAGCGUUGUCCGGAAUUAUUGGGCGUAAAGCGUCCGUAGGCGGUUAUGCAAGUCUAAUGUUAAAGGUUCCGGCUCAACCGGGGUAUGGUGUUGGAAACUGUGUGACUAGAGUGUGGUAGAGGUUACUGGAAUUCCUAGUGUAGCGGUGAAAUGCGUAGAUAUUAGGAGGAACACCGGUGGCGAAAGCGUGUAACUGGGCCACAACUGACGCUAAUGGACGAAAGCCGGGGUAGCGAAAGGGAUUAGAUACCCCUGUAGUCCCGGCUGUAAACGAUGGAUACUAGGUGUUGGGUGAAUCGACCCAUUCAGUGCCGAAGCUAACGCGAUAAGUAUCCCGCCUGGGGAGUACGACCGCAAGGUUGAAACUCAAAGGAAUUGACGGGGACCCGCACAAGCGGUGGAACAUGUGGUUUAAUUCGAUGCAACGCGAAGAACCUUACCUGGGCUUGACAUCUACUGAAUCAUGGCGAAAGUUGUGAGUGCCUUUCGGGGAGCAGUAAGACAGGUGGUGCAUGGUUGUCGUCAGCUCGUGUCGUGAGAUGUUGGGUUAAGUCCCGCAACGAGCGCAACCCACGUCGUAUGUUGUUACAGUGUUUAGGCAGCUGAACCCUCAUGCGAGACUGCCGGUGAUAAGCCGGAGGAAGGUGUGGAUGACGUCAAAUCAUCAUGCCCCUUAUGUCCAGGGCUACACACGUGUUACAAUGGGAUGGGACAAUAAGCAGCUUACCGGCGACGGUUGGCAAAUCUAUAAACCCACCCUCAGUUCGGAUCGUACUCUGCAACUCGAGUGCGUGAAGUUGGAAUCGCUAGUAAACGCAGAUCAGCACGCUGCGUUGAAU
This 1239-nucleotide ribosomal RNA is filed under the name uncultured bacterium. RNAcentral describes it as "bacterial SSU rRNA". It matches the Rfam family "Bacterial small subunit ribosomal RNA", at positions 104 to 1367 of the family's 1533-position model. The record is from RNAcentral.